CUUUGGGUGGCGAGUGGCGGACGGGUGAGUAAUGUCUGGGAAACUGCCCGAUGGAGGGGGAUAACUACUGGAAACGGUAGCUAAUACCGCAUAACGUCGCAAGACCAAAGUGGGGGACCUUCGGGCCUCACACCAUCGGAUGUGCCCAGAUGGGAUUAGCUAGUAGGUGGGGUAAUGGCUCACCUAGGCGACGAUCCCUAGCUGGUCUGAGAGGAUGACCAGCCACACUGGAACUGAGACACGGUCCAGACUCCUACGGGAGGCAGCAGUGGGGAAUAUUGCACAAUGGGCGCAAGCCUGAUGCAGCCAUGCCGCGUGUAUGAAGAAGGCCUUCGGGUUGUAAAGUACUUUCAUC
RNAcentral lists this ribosomal RNA (355 nucleotides) under Pantoea dispersa. Its description in RNAcentral is "bacterial SSU rRNA". It matches the Rfam family "Bacterial small subunit ribosomal RNA", at positions 78 to 440 of the family's 1533-position model. Lineage: Bacteria; Pseudomonadati; Pseudomonadota; Gammaproteobacteria; Enterobacterales; Erwiniaceae. The record is from RNAcentral.